This is a long non-coding RNA of Alligator mississippiensis (American alligator), 1098 nucleotides long. RefSeq lists it as uncharacterized. The record is from RefSeq and is a predicted model, not a curated record. The transcript has 3 exons. NCBI's taxonomy places the organism in Eukaryota, Metazoa, Chordata, Crocodylia, Alligatoridae.
UUCAGGUGGAAGUGGUUGUUAGCCACAUAAAGGUAUGUCCUAAAUCUCAAGAUGAUGUGGUUUCCUGAGACUCAGGAACUGAAAUAACUGCCUGAAUGAAGUAAGGAGCCUAUCUAGUUUGAAGAUUAAGUUAAUAUUGUGUCCAAGAAAACCUUGCCGGUCCAUUGGAGGUCACUUGGCAGUGCCACCCACCCACCCCUAUCACCAGUGGAGUAACCUUGAAAAUCAGGUCCUAAAAGUGUAAAUAAUAAUGGAGAUGGCCUGGUUGGAACAAAAGGAGGAAAAUUCAAGAUAAACAUCUAGUAUAGACAAAUAUGGUCUAUUUGAGCUUUAAAAUCACCUGGAACAUAAUCUACCACACUCCUGCCAACAUUAAUUUGUUAUUGCAGACAUUCAUGUCUCUCACAACCAUAGCCUCUCUGUCCACUUUAUAUUUACCUAAUUUUCAGCUGACAGUGUCUUUACAGAACUGAGCAAGUCAGUAGCAUGUUGCAAGUACCAUCAUCAUUGCUAAACUACAGUAAUGAAUAUGAAGCUUUCCGUCUACUGUAUCUACAACACAGCUGGUAAUGCCUUGUUGUGGUAAUGGGAGUGAAAGGUGUGGUACUGGAGUGAAGACUCCAUAUACUAUUCACUGCACAAAGAUUCUGGGGCAUUAUCACUUGGCAAGGAAGCAAUUUAGCCCUCCCACAUAGAAAAACAUCCCUUAACCUGACAGAUCCCGGGAAUCUGCAGAUGGCUGCAGCCACCUGUGUGGAUGACUCAUAUUUCUGCAGUGGCUCCUUACCAGCAUAGUCCCAAUUUUUCCUGUCAGUCCCUGCAUGAGGCAACAGCAGACAAAUCAGUAUAGUCUGGGGAUGCAUUAGCUUUUCCAACUAAUUUCUGAGAGGCCAAAGUGGACCUAUUUAUUGAUGUGACAGGCAAGAUCAGCACUCAGGAUCUCAAUAUCAUGCUGUUAGGCAGGAGGACAUGACACAAAAUUAUAUACAAUGCACACAAACAUAAUGGACAUACAAAAAUUACUGAUUUAUACACACACACAGGUGAACACCCACUCAGGUUACAGUGUGUUAAUGUUUGGGUGUGCUUGGAAUGCUU